CUAUGAAUAAACUUAAAGGGUUAAGAGCAGAAGUAAAAGCGAAUGCUGGGUUUGAUUCCCAUGUCUGGGAUUGGUUGGACCUGGCCUUAGGAAAGUGGGGCGCUAUGUUCACCAGGAUGGCCAUCAUGGUGGGUGCGGGCCUGGUGGCGUUAGGCGUUGUAUUCUGCUGUGUAAUACCUUUAGUUAAAUCACUUGUGGUCAAGACUGCUGUUAAACAGAUGUCAGUACAUGGAGUAACCCCUAAACCAAAGAGGAGGCAAAGAAAGAAGUUUAAGGAUUAUGUAUUGGAUCCACCUCUUGUAAUUAAUCCUGUCCCAGAUAAUCCUGGACACUAUACCAAUAAGUAUGGGAACCCUUGCAAUGCUGUUGGAGGUCCCCUUGAUUGCCCUUUUGGUAACCCUAACUGUCUCCAUGAGGUAAUCCUUGGAGGAGGUUAUAGGUGCCAUGAUUGGCGACCUGGUGGUUUUCCGGUGUAUGGCACAGACCCCGCUUCAGGUGAAUUGGUGAUUGUCCAUGUACACAAGAAAUGUCCAAAACCUAGGCGUUGCAAGUGGUGCUCCCAAGACGACAAUAAUGAACAUUACCAUCAUCCCGACCCUCUCUUUUGUGCAAUGUGCCAAAGGGGGGAUUGCCCUAUUUGUGCGGAUGAGGAGUGUGCCCCUAGGACAUAACCCCUAGUAUGAUUCUGAACAGGCCUUAAGUAUAUGUUGUCUUUUAUGUUUGUUCUAUGGGUUUCAUACAUAUAUAAAUGUAUGCUUUUCUUUAAUUAUAAGUUAGUUUUGCCUUCCUAAAAUGAUGAACAUGUAUUAUACGUUAGGUAACAGAGGGUGUUUCCGGUUACAAGUGUCUACGGACCAUGUCCUUAAUCUUCUAGCAGUUAUGAGUGAAAGGUGCUCAGUAUAUGUUAGAGAGGUGUCCGCGAGGGAGGAUCGUGUUAGAAUGUCUCAUUUUGGAAUGAUGUUGUGUAACCUUUAUUUUUGAUUAUUUGGGCCAUGUUCAGAUUCUU
This 1006-nucleotide long non-coding RNA is filed under the name Salmo trutta (river trout). Its description in RNAcentral is "lncRNA (ENSSTUG00000026919.1)". The record is from RNAcentral. Lineage: Eukaryota; Metazoa; Chordata; Actinopteri; Salmoniformes; Salmonidae.